UNUGACUUGAGUGCAGAAGGGGAGAGUGGAAUUCCAUGUGUAGCGGUGAAAUGCGUAGAUAUAUGGAGGAACACCAGUGGCGAAAGCGGCUCUCUGGUCUGUCACUGACGCUGAGGCUCGAAAGCGUGGGUAGCGAACAGGAUUAGAUACCCUGGUAGUNCACGCCGUAAACGAUGAGUGCUAGGUGUUAGGCCCUUUCCGGGGCUUAGUGCCGGAGCUAACGCAAUAAGCACUCCGCCUGGGGAGUACGACCGCAAGGUUGAAACUCAAAGGAAUUGACGGGGGCCCGCACAAGCGGUGGAGCAUGAGGUUUAAUUCGAAGCAACGCGAAGAACCUUACCAGGUCUUGACAUCCCGAUGCUAUUCUUAGAGAUAGGAAGUUACUUCGGUACAUCGGAGACAGGUGGUGCAUGGUUGUCGUCAGCUCGUGUCGUGAGAUGUUGGGUUAAGUCCCGCAACGAGCGCAACCCUUAUUGUUAGUUGCCAUCAUUAAGUUGGGCACUCUAGCGAGACUGCCGGUAAUAAACCGGAGGAAGGUGGGGAUGACGUCAAAUCAUCAUGCCCCUUAUGACCUGGGCUACACACGUGCUACAAUGGUCGGUACAACGAGUUGCGAGCCGGUGACGGCAAGCUAAUCUCUGAAAGCCGAUCUCAGUUCGGAUUGGAGGCUGCAACUCGCCUCCAUGAAGUCGGAAUCGCUAGUAAUCGCGGAUCAGCACGCCGCGGUGAAUACGUUCCCGGGCCUUGUACACACCGCCCGUCACACCACGAGAGUUUGUAACACCCGAAGUCGGUGAGGUAACCUUUUAGGGGCCAGCCGC
This 821-nucleotide ribosomal RNA is filed under the name uncultured bacterium. RNAcentral describes it as "bacterial SSU rRNA". It matches the Rfam family "Bacterial small subunit ribosomal RNA", at positions 636 to 1456 of the family's 1533-position model. The record is from RNAcentral.